This 837-nucleotide ribosomal RNA is filed under the name uncultured Bacteroidota bacterium. RNAcentral's name for it is "bacterial SSU rRNA". It matches the Rfam family "Bacterial small subunit ribosomal RNA", at positions 11 to 848 of the family's 1533-position model. The record is from RNAcentral. Lineage: Bacteria; Pseudomonadati; Bacteroidota.
GUUUGAUCCUGGCUCAGGAUGAACGCUAGCGGCAGGCUUAAUACAUGCAAGUCGAGGGGCAGCACGGUAGCAAUACUGGUGGCGACCGGCGCACGGGUGCGUAACACGUAUACAAUCUGCCUUUAACAGGGGGAUAGCCCGGAGAAAUCCGGAUUAAUACCCCAUAACACUAAGAGUAGCAUUACUUUUGGUUAAAAGCUCCGGCGGUUAAAGAUGAGUAUGCGUCUGAUUAGCUAGUUGGUGAGGUAACGGCUCACCAAGGCGACGAUCAGUAGGGGAUCUGAGAGGAUUAACCCCCACACGGAUACUGAGACACGGAUCCGACUCCUACGGGAGGCAGCAGUAAGGAAUAUUGGACAAUGCCCGCAAGGGUGAUCCAGCCAUGCCGCGUGCAGGAAGAAGGCCCUAUGGGUCGUAAACUGCUUUUACACCGGAGAAAACCUCCCCUCGUGAGGGGAGCUGAUAGUAUGGUGAGAAUAAGCAUCGGCUAACUUCGUGCCAGCAGCCGCGGUAAGACGAAGGAUGCAAGCGUUAUCCGGAUUCAUUGGGUUUAAAGGGAGCGUAGGUGGACUGAUAAGUCAGUGGUGAAAUCUCCGAGCUUAACUCGGAAAUUGCCAUUGAUACUGUUGGUCUUGAGUAUAGUUGCCGUUGGCGGAAUAUGACAUGUAGUGGUGAAAUACAUAGAGAUGUCAUAGAACACCGAUUGCGAAGGCAGCUGACGAAACUAUAACUGACACUGAGGCUCGAAAGUGUGGGGAUCAAACAGGAUUAGAUACCCUGGUAGUCCACACUGUAAAACGAUGAUUACUCGCUGCUAGAGGGCAGCUUUUAGUGGCU